This 92-nucleotide transfer RNA is filed under the name Crassvirales sp. RNAcentral's name for it is "tRNA-OTHER". It matches the Rfam family "tRNA". From Rfam's summary of the family: Transfer RNA (tRNA) molecules are approximately 80 nucleotides in length. Their secondary structure includes four short double-helical elements and three loops (D, anti-codon, and T loops). The record is from RNAcentral. Lineage: Duplodnaviria; Heunggongvirae; Uroviricota; Caudoviricetes; Crassvirales.
GGCACAUUAGCUCAGUGGUUAGAGCAUCAUAUCCAAUGAUUUUAAAGGUAGUUGGAAUGAAGGUCACUGGUUCAAAUCCAGUAUGUGCUUCA